UGUCGUGAGAUGUUCGGUUAAGUCCGCUAACGAGCGCAACCCUCGCUGUAUGUUACAUGUGUCAUACAGGACCGCCGGUAUCAAGCCGGAGGAAGGUGGGGAUGACGUCAAGUCCGCAUGGCCUUUAUGUCCGGGGCUACACACACGCUACAAUGGUCGGUACAAUGGGUUGCUAAGCCGCGAGGUGGAGCCAAUCCCCCAAAGCCGGCCUCAGUUCAGAUUGCAGGCUGCAACUCGCCUGCAUGAAGCUGGAGUUGCUAGUAAACGCGCGUCAGCUAUAGUGCGUUGAAUACGUUCUCGGGCCUU
This 306-nucleotide ribosomal RNA is filed under the name uncultured Anaerolineaceae bacterium. RNAcentral describes it as "bacterial SSU rRNA". It matches the Rfam family "Bacterial small subunit ribosomal RNA", at positions 1063 to 1382 of the family's 1533-position model. The record is from RNAcentral. Lineage: Bacteria; Bacillati; Chloroflexota; Anaerolineae; Anaerolineales; Anaerolineaceae.